RNAcentral lists this transfer RNA (87 nucleotides) under Escherichia coli. RNAcentral describes it as "tRNA-Leu". It matches the Rfam family "tRNA". From Rfam's summary of the family: Transfer RNA (tRNA) molecules are approximately 80 nucleotides in length. Their secondary structure includes four short double-helical elements and three loops (D, anti-codon, and T loops). The record is from RNAcentral. RNAcentral also lists the same sequence under 3 other names. Lineage: Bacteria; Pseudomonadati; Pseudomonadota; Gammaproteobacteria; Enterobacterales; Enterobacteriaceae.
GCGAAGGUGGCGGAAUUGGUAGACGCGCUAGCUUCAGGUGUUAGUGUCCUUACGGACGUGGGGGCUCAAGUCCCCCCCCUCGCACCA